RNAcentral lists this ribosomal RNA (515 nucleotides) under uncultured bacterium. Its description in RNAcentral is "partial 16S ribosomal RNA". It matches the Rfam family "Bacterial small subunit ribosomal RNA", at positions 28 to 523 of the family's 1533-position model. The record is from RNAcentral.
GAUGAACGCUGGCGGCGUGCCUAAUACAUGCAAGUCGAGCGAGUGGAUUAAGAGCUUGCUCUUAUGAAGUUAGCGACGGACGGGUGAGUAACACGUGGGUAACCUGCCCAUAAGACUGGGAUAACUCCGGGAAACCGGGGCUAAUACCGGAUAACAUUUUGAACCGCAUGGUUCGAAAUUGAAAGGCGGCUUCGGCUGUCACUUAUGGAUGGACCCGCGUCGCAUUAGCUAGUUGGUGAGGUAACGGCUCACCAAGGCAACGAUGCGUAGCCGACCUGAGAGGGUGAUCGGCCGCACUGGGACUGAGACACGGCCCAGACUCCUACGGGAGGCAGCAGUAGGGAAUCUUCCGCAAUGGACGAAAGUCUGACGGAGCAACGCCGCGUGAGUGAUGAAGGCUUUCGGGUCGUAAAACUCUGUUGUUAGGGAAGAACAAGUGCUAGUUGAAUAAGCUGGCACCUUGACGGUACCUAACCAGAAAGCCACGGCUAACUACGUGCCAGCCGCCGCAGUAA